GACGAACGCUGGCGGCGUGCCUAACACAUGCAAGUCGAACGGAGAUUAUUGAUGAAGCUUGCGAUUUAAUAAUCUUAGUGGCGGACGGGUGAGUAACGCGUGGGUAACCUGCCCAUAAGAGGGGGAUAACAGCUGGAAACGGGUGCUAAUACCGCAUAGGUUUCUGGUCGCAUGAUCGAGAAAGGAAAGACGGCCUUUGCGCUGUCGCUUAUGGAUGGACCCGCGGCGUAUUAGUUAGUUGGUGAGGUAAUGGCUCACCAAGACGAUGAUACGUAG
This 276-nucleotide ribosomal RNA is filed under the name uncultured bacterium. Its description in RNAcentral is "partial 16S ribosomal RNA". It matches the Rfam family "Bacterial small subunit ribosomal RNA", at positions 28 to 286 of the family's 1533-position model. The record is from RNAcentral.